RNAcentral lists this ribosomal RNA (253 nucleotides) under uncultured bacterium. RNAcentral describes it as "partial 16S ribosomal RNA". It matches the Rfam family "Bacterial small subunit ribosomal RNA", at positions 524 to 776 of the family's 1533-position model. The record is from RNAcentral.
GACAGAGGUGCCGAGCGUUAGGCGGAAUCACUGGGCUUAAAGCGUGUGUAGGCGGGCCGUUAAGUAUCUUGUGAAAUCCCCCGGCUCAACCGGGGAAUGGCUGGAUAUACUGGCGGUCUUGAGCAAUCUAGGGGCAGAUGGAACAGACGGUGGAGCGGUGAAAUGCGUAGAUAUCGUCUGGAACGCCAAAGGUGAAGACAGUCUGCUGGGGAUUUGCUGACGCUGAGACACGAAAGCCAGGGGAGCGAACGGG